AGCUUUAUAGUCAUUAAGUGAUAUAAAAUUGCAAAUUUUAAGGGGUAAAAAUUUACUAAGGCUU
Molecule: transfer RNA, 64 nt
Filed under: Actias selene (Indian moon moth)
Lineage: Eukaryota; Metazoa; Arthropoda; Insecta; Lepidoptera; Saturniidae
Description: tRNA-Cys
Source: RNAcentral